CCUACGGGAGGCAGCAGUAGGGAAUCUUCCGCAAUGGACGAAAGUCUGACGGAGCAACGCCGCGUGAGCGAUGAAGGCCUUCGGGUCGUAAAGCUCUGUUGUUAGGGAAGAACAAGUACCGUUCAAAUAGGGCGGUACCUUGACGGUACCUGACGAGAAAGCCACGGCUAACUACGUGCCAGCAGCCGCGGUAAUAGNUCAAGCUUAU
This 208-nucleotide ribosomal RNA is filed under the name uncultured bacterium. RNAcentral describes it as "partial 16S ribosomal RNA". It matches the Rfam family "Bacterial small subunit ribosomal RNA", at positions 338 to 539 of the family's 1533-position model. The record is from RNAcentral.